RNAcentral lists this ribosomal RNA (555 nucleotides) under uncultured Lactobacillus sp. RNAcentral's name for it is "bacterial SSU rRNA". It matches the Rfam family "Bacterial small subunit ribosomal RNA", at positions 28 to 547 of the family's 1533-position model. Lineage: Bacteria; Bacillati; Bacillota; Bacilli; Lactobacillales; Lactobacillaceae. The record is from RNAcentral.
GAUGAACGCUGGCGGCGUGCCUAAUACAUGCAAGUCGAACGAGUUCUUGUUGAUGAUCGGUGCUUGCACCAAGAUUCAACAUGGAACGAGUGGCGGACGGGUGAGUAACACGUGGGUAACCUGCCCUUAAGUGGGGGAUAACAUUUGGAAACAGAUGCUAAUACCGCAUAGAUCCAAGAACCGCAUGGUUCUUGGCUGAAAGAUGGCGUAAGCUAUCGCUUUUGGAUGGACCCGCGGCGUAUUAGCUAGUUGGUGAGGUAAUGGCUCACCAAGGCGAUGAUACGUAGCCGAACUGAGAGGUUGAUCGGCCACAUUGGGACUGAGACACGGCCCAAACUCCUACGGGAGGCAGCAGUAGGGAAUCUUCCACAAUGGACGCAAGUCUGAUGGAGCAACGCCGCGUGAGUGAAGAAGGCUUUCGGGUCGUAAAACUCUGUUGUUGGAGAAGAAUGGUCGGCAGAGUAACUGUUGUCGGCGUGACGGUAUCCAACCAGAAAGCCACGGCUAACUACGUGCCAGCAGCCGCGGUAAUACGUAGGUGGCAAGCGUUAUCCG